AUGGCCUGCUGCCCCCGACGCCAGCACCGCAGAGCACGGCCCCCCGCAAGGAAACCCCGGCAGGAAGCAGCCCUUGGAGCCUGUGGCACAGGUCAGCCCAAGUCCGCGCCCUCAGUCACUCUGUUCGCUCCCUCCACUGAGGAGCUCAAGGUCAACAAGGCCACCCUGGUGUGUCUCAUCAAUGACUUCUACCCGGGCAGCGUGACGGUGGCCUGGAAGGCAGGCAGCACCGCCAUAACCAGGGGCGUGGAGACCGCCCAGCCCUUGAAGCAGAGCAACAGCAAGUACGCGGCCAGCAGCUACCUGGCCCUGACGGCCAGCGAGUGGAAAUCUUACGACAGGGUCAGCUGCCAAGUCACACACGAGGGGAGCACCGUGGAGAAGACAGUGGCGUCCUCAGGGUGCCCUUAG
Kogia breviceps (pygmy sperm whale) is the source of this 411-nucleotide non-coding RNA. Lineage: Eukaryota; Metazoa; Chordata; Mammalia; Artiodactyla; Physeteridae. The record is from the annotation of a RefSeq genome assembly.